GAUGAACGCUGACAGAAUGCUUAACACAUGCAAGUCGAUGGGGAAGUGGUGCUUGCACCAUGGCAACCAUGGCGGACGGGUGAGUAACGCGUAAGGGACUUACCUGCAGGACUGGGAUAACAGGGGGAAACUCCUGACAAGACCGGAUAAUGUCAUGGAGCUGCAUGGCUUUAUGAUGAAAGGAGACGCCUGCGGAGAGCCUUGCGUCCUAUUAGCUGGUUGGUGAGGUAAUGGCUCACCAAGGCGAAGAUAGGUAGCCGGCCUGAGAGGGUGGACGGCCACAAGGGGACUGAGAUACGGCCCUUACUCCUACGGGAGGCAGCAGUGGGGAAUAUUGGACAAUGGGGGCAACCCUGAUCCAGCAAUUCUGUGUGCACGAAGAAGGUUUUCGGAGUGUAAAGUGCUUUCAGCAGGGAAGAAGUAAGUGACGGUACCUGCAGAAGAAGCGACGGCUAAAUACGUG
RNAcentral lists this ribosomal RNA (463 nucleotides) under uncultured bacterium. RNAcentral describes it as "partial 16S ribosomal RNA". It matches the Rfam family "Bacterial small subunit ribosomal RNA", at positions 28 to 507 of the family's 1533-position model. The record is from RNAcentral.